AUUGCUGUUAGAGCAGUGAUCCUCAUGCCUCUCAUUCUGAACACCUUGUUUGGAGAAGCAGCAGCUCAUUUGCAGCUUGAGAAGCCUUGUUCUGCAGUGCUGAUUUCUCUUUCAUAUUCCAAGAGCAAAGAUGAAGAAGCAGCCUAGUCUGUGCAUCUUGGCCUCUGUUGUGUUUCCAGUGUUAGAAGUUGGACCUUAGCUGGGGAGAUAAAAACCCUUAAAGCCGAAGCAAGGUGUAAAAUUUACAAAAAUCAGAGGAAAGCUAGAUGUGACAGUAAAGGGUUAGCUCAUCCUGAGAAAGAUGCUUGUGCCUUAAAGCUGGCUUCUCAGAGAACUUGGUAAUUCCGCAAGGUGUGCCACAUAGCACUGAAGUUGAAAGAUGCUCAUAAAAUCCAUGAAAGGGGUCUUGAUGUGGAUUGUGGCUUUAAAUGUGUUUAUAGUCGCAUGACUGUGUGGGACGUAAUGGAAAAUCAUUUAAAAUCACAUAAGCAGAUAGAAGAAAUCCACCGGUGCUUCAUCUGUGAAAGUGUUAUGUCACAAAGUGCCUGGAAAGCGUACAGAAACAGCCAUCGGAAGAAACCUCAUCUCUUUCAGCGCACAAUAUAUUAAUCAUCUUUUGAAACUGAGUGAGUAAGAAAUAUCAGUGUAGCUUGCCAGUAUCAGGAUAUGUUUAAAUGUCCACGCAAGUGAUUUCACCAAAACUAUGGCUUCUAAUACAGCUAAGGAAUGAAUCAAGGUCUACAAGCAUCUGUGCAGCCAUGAUUACAAGUUCAACUGCAUCCGUGUACUGAAUGUGAGAGAUGUUUUUUUCCAAGCGUCCUGUGACGUCUAGACCCUUUAGGGUCACUGGCUUCAGCUCCAUCCUAACAUUUAUUGUGUUGCUGGUGAUGUACUGACCACUGAACCACGCUGGAGAAGCUGGUGUACGCUGAAUGGAGGGUCAGAGAAGAGUUGAAAAAGCAUAUGGAAAAUCACAAAAACUUCUACACCCUUCUGUCUUCAUUUUGGGAUCAAGUAUUCAAAACCAGACGUCAGGUGAAUGAACAUCACAAAUCCAUCAAGAAAAAACAAAACAAAAUAUCAAAAAACAAAAUGAAGGAGAAGAAGAGAAGAAAGAAGGCUGAAGAUAAUCCUGUGUGCUCCAGCCCCAAAGCAACUAGAAAGAAGGAUUCCAGUUAAUUAACAUGCAGUAUCUACAGUAGGAAGUGUUCUUAUAGUUAGCUCUGCAGAAGCACAUGGGAACACAUGCUGGCAUCAAAGCCUUCCAUUGCCAGCUCUGCAAGUACGAAACCAGGCUCAAGGCCUCUCUGAUACAGCAGAUGCAAAUGCAUACAGGUGAAAAGGUUUUCAGAUGUGAGAUCUGCCCUUAUGCCUCCAUUGGUGCAAGCUUUCUGCAGCAGCACUUCUGAACAUGUGCUAGUGAGAGGCCCUACAAAUGUUGACUCUGUUCAUAUAGUUGCAUUCGGAAGAAGAGCUUGGAAUCACACUGGUGAGGCAUUUGACUGUAGUUUUUGCUGCUGUUCUUCCCGUGACAAGCAACUUCUCCAAAAAAACAUUAAGAAAUAUCAUCUGGGUUCAGGAACCUCAUUAACCAGUUCCCAGCCCACAUUUACCCUCAGAUCACUUCCUGUGGAACACUAGGUUCUUCAUGCUUAAACUGCCACCAGAGCAUCCUGGCAAAUAAAGAAGCUGUUGGCAUUGUCAGACUUUUCUGCUGAAAGACAGGGAUUAUCUGGAAAACGAGAAGAAACCAUCCUUAUGUGGUAGUUAGAAGCACUUAGAAUCAUCUUCCCAAAAAAGCUCUGUGUGCAUUACGAUACAGAUUGUGCCUCUGGUUUGCUGAGAGGCACACGAAGACUGGUGUGGCACAAAGGGUGGAUGUGUUGAUUUUUGUUCUGGUCACCUCUUGCUGAUAUAUUUCACUUACUUACAAAUGGAGAGUUUGACAUUUCAAGGUAGAAUCUGUUGAAAUGUCCAAAGCUGACAUUGAACCCUACAGGUCAUUUCUAUACUACAUCUCUCAUUUUUAAUACAGGUCUCUAUAUAAAAUAAUAAAUGAACAAGAAAAUCUACUGAUGCCAUAGCAGUCAUAAUGUGGUUAACUAAGUCUCUUCAUGGUUAUUUUUUAUAACAAAUCGUGUCUAUUAUCAAAAGCUAAUCCAGCGUUGAAGUAAAAAUAUAAACUAUUGAUAUAUGACAUCAAAUAAACUUGACUUGAAAAUUCAUUGGUUAAAUACAUCUGUACCUUAUUUAGCCAAAUAGAAAUUGCUUACUUUAAAAAAAGAUUAAAUUAGAAGAAUGGAAUACUUUCUAAAUUUAGGUUGUUAGAGGACUGGUUUUACUCUAAGACUCCACAUUUAUUCUUUGACUAUGGUGGUUUUGUGGAUUCUGUUGUUAGCUAUGAGUGUUACUCAGGAAAUGUAACUCUUGCUAAAAAUAAAAAACCUAACAUCACAACUUCCUACCAGACAGAAUCAAAUAGUGACUGAAGUGUGCCUACACUGCUCUCUUAAACACAAUUGUA
This is a long non-coding RNA of Athene cunicularia (burrowing owl), 2524 nucleotides long. RefSeq lists it as uncharacterized. The transcript has 7 exons. NCBI's taxonomy places the organism in Eukaryota, Metazoa, Chordata, Aves, Strigiformes, Strigidae. The record is from RefSeq and is a predicted model, not a curated record.